RNAcentral lists this transfer RNA (183 nucleotides) under Marmota monax (woodchuck). Its description in RNAcentral is "tRNA.Ala". Lineage: Eukaryota; Metazoa; Chordata; Mammalia; Rodentia; Sciuridae. The record is from RNAcentral.
GGGGUUGUGGCUCAGCGGUAGAGCGCUUGCCUAGCACUGGUGAGGCCCUGCUUUGAUCCUCAGCACCACAUAAACAACAACAAAUAAAAUAAAGAUUAAAUUCUUAAAAAAAAAAAAAAAAAAUCAGGGUCAAUCAACAAUUAGAAAAAAAUAUUUUUUAAAAAGAGUUCAAAGCCAACCUCA